RNAcentral lists this ribosomal RNA (465 nucleotides) under uncultured bacterium. RNAcentral describes it as "partial 16S ribosomal RNA". It matches the Rfam family "Bacterial small subunit ribosomal RNA", at positions 28 to 507 of the family's 1533-position model. The record is from RNAcentral.
GACGAACGCUGGCGGCGUGCUUAACACAUGCAAGUCGUACGGUAAGGCCCUUUCGGGGGUACACGAGUGGCGAACGGGUGCGUAACACGUGAGUAACCUGCCCACAACUUUGGGAUAACGCUAGGAAACUGGUGCUAAUACUGGAUAUGUGCUCCUGCUGCAUGGUGGGGGUUGGAAAGCUCCGGCGGUUGUGGAUGGACUCGCGGCGUAUCGGCUUGUUGGUGGGGUAGUGGCCUACCAAGGCGGCGACGGGUAGCCGGCCUGAGAGGGUGACCGGCCACAUUGGGACUGAGAGACGGCCCAGACACCGACGGGAGGCAGCAGGGGGGAAGAUUGCACAAGGGGCGCAAGCCUGAUGCAGAAACGCCGCGGGCGGGAGGACGGCCUUCGGGUUGGAAAACGCUUUCAGCAGGGACGAAGCUUUUUGUGACGGUACCUGCAGAAGAAGCACCGGCUAACUACGUG